AACAUUUUUUGGAGCAACGAGCAAGAGCGAAUUGGUUAAUAUUAGGAGAUAAGAACAUUUAUUUUUUUCACAAGUUUUCUUCUCAGAGAAGGUGUACAAAUUGUAUUCGUGGUUUGCAAAGAAAUGAUGGUUCUCUUGCUACAGAUUGUAGUAAAACUGGGAAUAUUGCUUGCAAUUAUUUUGUAGAUCUUUUCGAGUCUCGCUACAUAGGAAACUUGGAUCAUAUCUUGUCGGGGUUACCGCGUUGCACCUCUGACAGUAUGAAUCAAAGUUUUGUGGUUACUUAUACAGAAGAAGAAAUUAUUAUGGCUUUGAAAGGAAUUGGGCCCACAAAAGCUUCAAGACCUGAUGGUUUUCCGGCAAUCUUUUACCAAAAGUAUUGGCACAUUAUUGGUAAAGAUACCAGCAUGUUCUGUUUGGAUAUUUUGAAUAAUGGUAAAGCUUUGGAUGAGAUAAAUAGAACACAGCUGGUUCUAAUCCCCAAAAUCUCGAAUCCCCUCAAUUUGAAGAGUUUUUGACCGAUUAGCCUUUAUACAGUAAUUUAUAAAAUUAUUGCCAAAACAGUUACUAACCGUUUACAAAAAGUGUUGGAUGAUUGUAUUGACGACUCUUAAAGUGCCUUUGUACAGGGUAGACUCAUUACUGACAAUGUUUUGCUGGCAUAUCAAGUACUUCAUUCUUUUAAGAACAAAAGAACAAAAAAAUCCAAUCCAGGAACAAAAAAUUUUGUCAAAGGGAUUAUGUCAAGGGGGUCCUUUAAGUCCUUAUUUAUUUUUAUUCUGUGGAGAGGGGCUAUCUACGCUAAUGAGAAUUGCAAGCCAGGAACAAAAAAUUUUGGGUGCAAAGGUUUGUAGAUCGACUCCACCAAUCACCAAUCUUAGGUUUGCGGACGAUUGUAUACUGUUUGAAGAGGUUUCAAAUAGGUGAAUUCAGGUGAUUUGAGACAUAUUAAAAGAAUAUGAGCUUUGUUAGGGUCAGUGUGUAAAUUUUAAAAAGUCCACGAGCUUUUUCAGUUCAAAUGUGAAUGAUCAAGAUAAAAACUUGGUUGUUCAGUUUCUUAAUGUUCAUUAUUCGAGUGAGCCAGAGAAGUAUCUGAGUUUACCGAAUAUGGUGGGACGAAAAAAGAAAUUGGCUUUUCAAACCUUGAAGGACAGUUUGAAACAGAAGAUCAACAGUUGGAGUAUACAAUAUAUUUCUCAGGGUGGAAAAGAGAUAUUUAUAAGAGCAGUUUUACAAGCAAUCCCUACUUAUACAAUGUCUUGUUUUCCUUUACCAAAAAUGUUAUGUGUGGCAAAAAAUUCAUAGAAAAAGAGGACUGCACUGGUGUGAUUGGAAAUCGUUAUGCGUUCCAAAGAAGGAAGGUGGGAUGGGGUUCCGUAACAUGAAUCCUUUUAAUAUCGCGUUAUUGGCAAAACAGAGUUGACGCUAAUUCUUUACUAGCGCGUACUUUGAAGGCCAAAUAUUUUAAAAAUUCAGAUUUUUUAAAUUCCAGUUUAGGAAACUUACCUUCUCUUACCUGACAGAGUCUGUGAUCUGCAAAAGAACUCAUUAUGAAGGGAUUGGGGUGGAGGAUUGGUGAUGGGAAGAAUGUCUCUAUCUGGGGAGAUGCAUAGGUCCCUGGAAGUAAUGAUUUCAGAGUUUAAAAUUUAAAUGCCAAUUCAAGUUUGUCCACAGUAUCAGAUUUAAUUGAAGAAAACACGAGAGAAUGAAAAGCAGAGCUGAUAAACAAUACCUUCCUGGCAAAGGAUGCAGAGCGAAUUCUAUGUAUUCCUUUAUCCAUAAACCAGCAAAAAGAUCAUAUAAUCUAGCGAGGCGAGCUGACGGGGGAGUACACAGUUCGGAGCAGGCACAAACUACUUUUACAUGACGAGCAGAAUCAAACACAAUCAAAUUACAGGCAAUUUUACAAAAUAUUAUGGAGCCUUGAUCUACCUCCAAAAAUUAAAAUUACAAACUAGAUGUUUUUUUGUAAUUUUAUGCCUACUUUUUGUAAUCUAAACUAUAAAAGACUGAUGGCAUCCGCAAAUUACCGAAAGUGCCAAAAUGAGGUGGAAACGAGAGAGCAUGUAUUCAAAAAGUGUCCUGUUGCAAAGGAGACGUGGGAAAAGUUAGGUUUUAACUGGCCAACUCCUAAAGAAAAUGCUAGUUUUGAAGAUUGGCUUAAAUGCAUUUUUGAGUCAAACUUUUUGAAUAAAUGUAGGGUGAUUGCAUGUGCUUUGUAGGUGAUUUGGACUUCAAGAAACAGGUUUAUUCAUGAAGGAGAAGAACAAACUGGUUCUCAAAUGGCAGAUUUUAUAACAAACUACAUCAAAGAACUUGAUGGGUUGAGUAUGUGCUUACCAAUGAAUCGACUUCAUUCAAGUAGAUGGGUUGAGCUGACUGAUCCUUGGGUUAGAAUCAAUUUUGAUGCUGCUUUUAACAAGGAAAAGAAUGAUUCAAGCUCGGGAUUAUUGAUACGGAAUGCUCGGGCAGAGGUGAUUUGUUCAAACUCAGUUUUUCAUGAAAAUAUACCUUCUGCUUUUGUUGCGAAAGCAAUGGCGUGUCUUCAGGUGGUCCAUCUCGAGCUAUUUCUCGGGUUGAGGGAAGUUGAGAUUGAAGGUGAUUCUCGGUCGGUGAUUCAGAAACUGUAAGAAGAAAAGGAAGAUAGAUCAGAAAUUGAAGUUUUCAUUAAAGAUACAAAGCAUCUGAGUUUAGGUUUUGAAUCUUGUAUUUUUCGGUUUAUCCCUAGAGAGGCUAACAAGGUUGCACAUUUCAUAGCAAAAGAUGGGUUACAGAAGAGAGAAUCAACUUACUUGCUGGGCAUGGUUACGUCUGGAGUGGUGGAAGCUAUGGUGGUCGAUCGAAGAUGGAUAGAUUCUGUGGGGGACUGAAUCCCCGAAUUUGCUGAAGGAAAGUUUUGGGGAAGAAGUUUUUGAAUAGUUAAGAGGAGUUGUUGUUUUUUAGAAGUUUUUCUGUGGGAAGUGAUGGCUCCUGCAAAAAUUAAUGGAAACAAUUAUGUCUUACUGCGUUUUCCCAGGUGUAUUUGUUGCUUUUGAGGGAUGGGUUUAUUAAUUGGUUCACAGCUGGCUGCAGAAGUCUGUAGAGCUCCCCGUCCUGCUUAGCUGGAUCUUUUGUUAUUUUCGUUUAUGUUUUUCUUUUGCCUGGGCCUGUUAGGCAUAGUUUUAGGCUAUUUUGUUCUGUUUUGUUUGACCCAAGCCUGCUUGGUCUUUUGGAGUUGGUUCGCUUUUGUUGAAUAAAAGAUCCAGAUGUUUUUACUCAAAAAAAAUCC
This 3268-nucleotide long non-coding RNA is filed under the name Gossypium barbadense (sea-island cotton). RNAcentral's name for it is "long non-coding RNA (GBAR_LNC008413)". The record is from RNAcentral. Lineage: Eukaryota; Viridiplantae; Streptophyta; Magnoliopsida; Malvales; Malvaceae.